CAAGAAUAAAGGAUCUGUAGUUCUUCAUAUGGACUUUAUUGCUCUGAAAAUCAGAUUGCCUUCUACAUGAAAGCUGGAAAUGGGCCACAAAUUAUUUCUUGAGGAAAAAAAGGAUCCGAUGAGCUUGGAUUGUGUCUAACUCUGGACCGGGA
Molecule: long non-coding RNA, 152 nt
Organism: Ixodes scapularis (black-legged tick)
Lineage: Eukaryota; Metazoa; Arthropoda; Arachnida; Ixodida; Ixodidae
Exons: 3
Source: RefSeq, a predicted model, not a curated record